ACGUAGGGGGCAAGCGUUGUCCGGAUUUAUUGGGCGUAAAGAGCGUGUAGGCGGCUGGGUAGGUCCGUUGUGAAAACUCGAGGCUCAACCUCGAGACGCCGAUGGAAACCCCCCAGCUAGAGUCCGGAAGAGGAGAGUGGAAUUCCUGGUGUAGCGGUGAAGUGCGCAGAUAUCAGGAAGAACACCCGUGGCUAAGGCGGCUCUCUAGUACGGUACUGACGCUGAGACGCGAAAGCGUGGGGAGCGAACAGGA
RNAcentral lists this ribosomal RNA (253 nucleotides) under uncultured prokaryote. RNAcentral's name for it is "partial 16S ribosomal RNA". It matches the Rfam family "Bacterial small subunit ribosomal RNA", at positions 525 to 777 of the family's 1533-position model. The record is from RNAcentral.